Capsicum annuum is the source of this 353-nucleotide long non-coding RNA. RefSeq lists it as uncharacterized. The transcript is spliced from 3 exons. Lineage: Eukaryota; Viridiplantae; Streptophyta; Magnoliopsida; Solanales; Solanaceae. The record is from RefSeq and is a predicted model, not a curated record.
UCCUAUCUGCCGUUAUCUUAUGCAGUACCUCCAUUUUCCUUUAUUUUGUCCUCUAUGUUGCAUCCUUCCAACAAAAAAAUGACAACUUCUGGUUACUCAAUUAUGCAACAAGAUGAAUUACGAUUGUUCCUAACUCAACUCAAUGGGAGAGGAAAAGGGAAUUGCUCUAAUGCAUGAUAUAGUGACACAAACUUUUCACUCUUCUCCAAAUGUUUACUCGAUGUGUUUUGGCGCUCAAGUCCACGGUCAAGCCCCUUAUUAGGAUCUGUAUCUUCUGCUAUUGGUGAGCCUCUUUUCCCCCAGGAGGCCAGAUGGGAUAUGAUGAUUAUUUGUAUAUAUUUUCUUUCCUUUUG